CCUACGGGAGGCAGCAGUGGGGGAUAUUGCACAAUGGGGGAAACCCUGAUGCAGCGACGCCGCGUGGGUGAAGAAGCGCCUCGGCGCGUAAAGCUCUGUUAUCAGGGAAGAAAAUGACGGUAACUGACGAAGCAGCCCCUGCUAACUACGUGCCAGCAGCCGAGGUAAUACGUAGGGGGCAAGCGUUAUCCGGAUUUACGGGGUGUAACGGGGGCGCAGACGGCGAUGCAAGCCAGGAGUGAAAGCCCGGGGCCCAACCCCGGGGCGGCUCUUGGAACUGCGUGGCUAGAGUGCAGGAGGGGAAAGCGGAAUUCCAGGUGUAGCGGUGAAAUGCGUAGAGAUAAGGAGGAACACCAGUGGCGAAGGCGGCCUGCUGGUCUGCAACUGACGUUGAGGCGCGAAAGCGUGGGGAGCAAACAGGAUUAGAUACCCGAGUAGUC
RNAcentral lists this ribosomal RNA (440 nucleotides) under uncultured bacterium. RNAcentral's name for it is "partial 16S ribosomal RNA". It matches the Rfam family "Bacterial small subunit ribosomal RNA", at positions 338 to 795 of the family's 1533-position model. The record is from RNAcentral.